Molecule: small RNA, 31 nt
Filed under: Bombyx mori (domestic silkworm)
Lineage: Eukaryota; Metazoa; Arthropoda; Insecta; Lepidoptera; Bombycidae
Description: ovarian small RNA-5394
Source: RNAcentral
GCUACCGAAAAAGGCUUCGAGAAGGAGCCGC